UAUGGCCUUAUGGGACACGAGGCCUCACCGGAGAACUCGCCGGAGUUAGCUUUAGGGUUGGGAGUUGGGAGAUCUCUGAAGGGAGGGUCGUCACCGGAGGAUGAGCUGCGGCGGAGAUUGCAGCGGCCAUCGUGGUCGGGGCAACAGGCUACAUCGCGAAUCCGAGCACAUUUCCGAACGAUUUCUAAUGAGAAGAUCCAAAAACCAAGUGAGCUGUGAGAUUGCAACAUACCGAGUUGUCCAAUUUUCUGUCCACAAUGCAGGCUUGCUAGGUGAAACAAGGUAAUAAUGAACACUAACAAUUGGGUCUGGGGCAUCGUUUUGCUUGCACAUCAUCCAUGGAACACCUGUUUGGAGACUUACAGCCAUUUCAGCUGCCC
This is a long non-coding RNA of Triticum dicoccoides, 380 nucleotides long. RefSeq lists it as uncharacterized. The transcript has 3 exons. NCBI's taxonomy places the organism in Eukaryota, Viridiplantae, Streptophyta, Magnoliopsida, Poales, Poaceae. The record is from RefSeq and is a predicted model, not a curated record.